GCUAGUAAUCGUGGAUCAGAAUGCCACUAGUAAUCGUGGAUCAGAAUGCCACGGUGAAUACGUUCCCGGGCCUUGUACACACCGCCCGUCACACCAUGGGAGUGGGUUGCAAAAGAAGUAGGUAGCUUAACCUUCGGGAGGGCGCUUACCACUUUGUGAUUCAUGACUGGGGUGAAGUCGUAACAAGGUAACCGUAGGGGAACCUGCGGUUGGAUCACCUCCUUA
Molecule: ribosomal RNA, 225 nt
Filed under: Salmonella enterica
Lineage: Bacteria; Pseudomonadati; Pseudomonadota; Gammaproteobacteria; Enterobacterales; Enterobacteriaceae
Description: partial 16S ribosomal RNA
Rfam family: Bacterial small subunit ribosomal RNA
Source: RNAcentral